RNAcentral lists this ribosomal RNA (521 nucleotides) under uncultured Glomeraceae. Its description in RNAcentral is "SSU rRNA". It matches the Rfam family "Eukaryotic small subunit ribosomal RNA", at positions 569 to 1092 of the family's 1831-position model. The record is from RNAcentral. Lineage: Eukaryota; Fungi; Glomeromycota; Glomeromycetes; Glomerales; Glomeraceae.
AGCAGCCGCGGUAAUUCCAGCUCCAAUAGCGUAUAUUAAAGUUGUUGCAGUUAAAAAGCUCAUAGUUGAAUUUCGGGAUCAAUAUAUCGGUCGUGCCUUGGUACGUACUGGUAUCAUUGGUUUCUCCUUUCUGACGAACCAUGAUGUCAUUAAUUUGGUGUUAUGGGAAGUUAGGACUGUUACUUUGAAAAAAUUAGAGUGUUUAAAGCAGGCUUUAGCUUGAAUACAUUAGCAUGGAAUAAUGAAAUAGGACGUUCGAACCUAUUUUGUUGGUUUCUAGGAUCAACGUAAUGAUUAAUAGGGAUAGUUGGGGGCAUUAGUAUUCAAUUGUCAGAGGUGAAAUUCUUGGAUUUAUUGAAGACUAACUACUGCGAAAGCAUUUGCCAAGGAUGUUUUCAUUAAUCAAGAACGAAAGUUAGGGGAUCGAAGACGAUCAGAUACCGUCGUAGUCUUAACCAUAAACUAUGCCGACUAGGGAUCGGAUGAUGUUAAUUUUUUAAUGACUCAUUCGGCGCCUUACG